Non-coding RNA from Meleagris gallopavo (turkey), 2535 nucleotides. The record is from RefSeq and is a predicted model, not a curated record. NCBI's taxonomy places the organism in Eukaryota, Metazoa, Chordata, Aves, Galliformes, Phasianidae.
UUCACUGCAAAAAAAAUAAAUUACAAUCUUUCUGUUCAGUAGCUACCAGCUCAAGUCUCUGCUUAAUAAGAGCUCAGGAUGUGCUCAUAUCCUGACCUUAUACCUGCUUGGAAACACCUCUGUUCAGAUACCUGACUGACUCCAAUAAAUCUGUUACGUUGACUUCAUCAGCAGAGCUUUGGAAGUACUACAGAGCUUGUCUCCUCCUCAAAGGCAACGAGGGAGCCCUGCACAGCACAUUACAGAGUACACCAGGGUUACUCAGAAGCUCAUCAAGUGGAAGAGAAAGGAUCACACUGAAAAAGCUGCAGCACGGUGAGGGUUUCAGUCCCAACCCCUGUUCAGCUCUGCUUCUGAGACUGGUUUCCUCAUGGAAAGAGACAAAAAAGAAUGCUAGCAAAUCACAGCUCCUUCACCACAAAUAUCACAGCUACAUUUUGCAAGUUAAUCACUCUACUCAUCUAAAACUCUCUGCACGUCUGCACACCAGCUCCAAACAAGAAUUCUAAUACAACAACAAACCUUCCUUUGCAACCUCCUCGAUUUAAACUGCACAGCAAAGAAAAGAGCUGGAGCAGAAGAGUUUACUCAGAGUGGUUACUGCCCAGUCCGGGUACCCCUCAGCCUACUGGAAGACGUUCUACUCUUCUGCAAGGAACAAGCACGCAGCAGUGUUAGAGUUAUUUAGAACAAACGCAGCUGAACACAAUAGUGCACAGCACUUUCUGUCCCCAGCUGGAAGUGCUUCACAAACAGGAAACACGGCAAGGCUGCUCUCGCUCAUUCAGUGUCUCCCAGGGCACGACAGAGCCAUGCAGAAGGAAUGGGCUCACACAGCACCCGAGCAGGCAGGCUUCAGUCCAGUGGAAAAUGAACAAAAUGUGCAGAGGACUCGGAAGCACAAAGCUGAACCUCCUAACUGGCACUGGACACUGAAAAACAAGGCAGUCACCAUCCUGGCCAUACCACAAAGCAGUCCUGGCUGUAACCCAGCCCUCCUGGAGCAGUUAGCAUGUGAGCUUUGCAUUCCUACCUGCCUGUGGAUGGGACAGACCCUAUCAUCAGCAGUUUUCCCAGAGAGAAAUCCAGUAAAUCUCAAAGCUUGCAAGACCACGCAAUGGGUAACCUCCCUGUGCUUCUUCCUAUGUGAAAACAUACAGCAUUGCAACAAAGGAACGGGAGGAAUAGAAAUAUGAGUUCUCCUUUUUAAAAUGUCUCGUUUGCAACAUGGAGGGAAGGUUGCUUUUUUGUUUGUUGGUUCCAUUUAAAUAAAGGGUACUUUUAUUGGAGUGUAAGAAGAGAGAAACACAGAAGAAACCUCAAUUUAAAAAAAGGUAACAUGAUAAAUCUGGCUUACCUCCACCAGACACAAAGCAAACUGUCAUUAAAUUACCCCUCUCUGCACAGGAAUUGAAGUUGAGCCCAGUCUCUCUCUUUUUCUCACACAGGAUUAGGUGAUAAGUUAGCCAGAAACAAUCCAAAAGAGCUCCAAAACUAUUCCAUAUAUGGCAGAUACUUUUCAAAGUCCCGUUCUGCCACUGAUUUUGGCAGUUGUGAAGAGAAUCUGUCCCAUUUUUCAAUAUCAUCUCUCUUCUCACAGUACACUGACUUUGAGGGGGUGCAGCUCUCCUGAUGUCAUCACACAUCCUGGAAGCAAGAUGUUAUGCCAAGGCCUGAAUCUCUACCGUUUCUGCAAUUCCCCAACUACGAUGAUUUAAAGAAAAAACCCUCAGAAGCAGUCUAAAAUUAUAGAAACCAUGACACAGUUCCAAACUGAAUAAAUAUUAGAAGGAAAAAAAAAAAAGCAACUGACAUCAAAACCUACCCAACAGUAGAGAAAUGUACGUAGUGACACACUGCAGAUUCAGCGUAGAAAAGAAAAUAACAAAACUUCUGCUAUCUUUAGUGCUGACUCAUCAGAUUCUGGCUGCGGGAUCUGAUAUCCCUAAGGAUGUUUGGGCUUUGGAGAUGUCCCUAAAGAAUACACACGCCUCACUGUGCAAAUACACUGCCUAGAACUGAGAUAAAAAAAAAUCUGUGUUCUUGAGUUCUGAAGAAGGUGGCUUAUAUCCUGCAGGGAGUGGAGACAGUUAUUAGGACGAGAGUGGGAAAUAACAGGCAUGAAAUGGGGCUUUUCCUUGCUGAGGGUAAGUGAGGUCAUAUCAAGUCUGAGCUGCAGAAAAUGAUGAAUGCGUCUAACUUUCUCAUAUUCUGUUUUCCCAGGACUGAAAGCCAUUUUCUCCUACUAGCCUAAACCAGCCAUAAAAGCACUUAUUGGCAAAUGAGCAGCCAGAGGUCUGGGUAAAAGAGGAAGCAACUGGAGUGCAGCAAGGACAUCUGCCUCUUGGUGCAGCACUGCAGCGCUACCCCAGGCCAGAGGCAUCAGGAGGCAACAGGGACUGUUUUCCUGUUGCAAGGAAAAAAUCUCUUCAGACAGAGAAGUGCAAGAGAAUUCUGCAGGUACUGAAGAGUAUUUAGCUAAAAUGAAGCCACAGCCACAGAAAUACCAGGAAAAAUAGAAGGAAAAAAAAAAAA